RNAcentral lists this ribosomal RNA (465 nucleotides) under uncultured bacterium. RNAcentral's name for it is "partial 16S ribosomal RNA". It matches the Rfam family "Bacterial small subunit ribosomal RNA", at positions 28 to 507 of the family's 1533-position model. The record is from RNAcentral.
GACGAACGCUGGCGGCGUGCUUAACACAUGCAAGUCGAGCGGUAAGGCCCCUUCGGGGGUACCCGAGCGGCGAACGGGUGAGUAACACGUGAGCAAUCUGCCCAUCACAUCGGGAUAACUCCGGGAAACCGAAGCUAAUACCGAAUACGACCACCUCCGGCAUCGGAUGUUGGUGGAAAGUUCCGGCGGUGAUGGAUGAGCUCGCGGCCUAUCAGCUUGUUGGUGGGGUAACGGCCCACCAAGGCUUCGACGGGUAGCCGGCCUGAGAGGGUGACCGGCCACACUGGGACUGAGACACGGCCCAGACUCCUACGGGAGGCAGCAGUGGGGAGUAUUGGACAAUGGGCGAAAGCCUGAUCCAGCAACGCCGCGUGAGGGAUGACGGCCUUCGGGUUGUAAACCUCUUUCAGCAGGGACGAAGCGAAAGUGACGGUACCUGCAGAAGAAGCACCGGCCAACUACGUG